AGCACCUCCUGUUAUAUAUAAUGACUUGUGAAGUUCAUCUCCUGAAUUAUGGAACGUCAUUGACAUUUUUUAUUCAACGAAGAGUUAACCACUCUUAAUAAUAAUGGGUUUUAUAGCGAAAUAGACUUUUUUAUCGCGUGUUCAAUAUUUGCGUUAGUUAUUAUUUUUUUGGAAUGUAAAUUCUCUCUAAACACAGGUGAUAUUUAUGUUGGAAUUGUGGUGUUGAUUCUAUUCUUAUAAUAUAACAAGAAAUGUUGUAACUGAUAGAUAUAUUAAAAGAUUAAAUCGGAGCGGGAAUAAAGCGUGCUAAGCAUCAUCGUGAAUAUGAUUACAGCGCCUGCGAUGGCAUAUAACCGUAUUGCGGCUGGAGCGUCACGUGAGGACUGUGAAGCACAAUGCGAUAUGUUCUGGUUAUAUGGCGAGUUUGCUUAAUGACAUGUUUUUAGCCGAUCGGUGUCAGGUUUCUUAAUGUGGUUGUGAGAUUUUCUCUUUAAAUAUCAAAAUGUUGCAUGGUGGGUUUGUUGUUCUAUAGUGGCUAAACACUUUAUGGUUUCUGUUAAAUAUAUAUGCGUGAGAAAAAUUAGCAUUCAAAUCUAUAAAAGUUAGAUGACAUUGUAGAACCGGUUACCUAAAUGAGCGAUAGAGUGCUUCGGUAGUAAAAAUAUCUUUCAGGAAGUAAACACAUCAGGAGCGAUAGCGGUGAAUUAUUCGUGGUUUUGUCGAUUCGGCAUAGUGGCGAUAACUGAAUGCCGGAUCGGUACUGCAGGUGUUUAAACACACCGUAAAUAAUAAGUAGUAUUAAGGAGUUGUU
Salmonella enterica subsp. enterica serovar Enteritidis is the source of this 811-nucleotide non-coding RNA. Lineage: Bacteria; Pseudomonadati; Pseudomonadota; Gammaproteobacteria; Enterobacterales; Enterobacteriaceae. The record is from Rfam.